Molecule: ribosomal RNA, 509 nt
Filed under: uncultured Glomeromycotina
Lineage: Eukaryota; Fungi; Glomeromycota
Description: partial small subunit ribosomal RNA
Rfam family: Eukaryotic small subunit ribosomal RNA
Source: RNAcentral
CCAAUAGCGUAUAUUAAGGUUGCUGCGGUUAAAAAGCUCGUAGUUGAAUUUCGGGAUUGAUGCAUCGGUCGUGCCUUAAGGGGUAUGAACUGGUGUGGUCAAUUUCUUACCUUCUGGUGAAUUGUGAUGUCCUCCUUAAUUGGGUGUUUCAAUGAACUAGGACUUUUUACUUUGAAAAAAUUAGAGUGUUUAAAGCAGGCAUUAUUUGCUUGAAUACAUUAGCAUGGAAUAAUAAAAUAGGACAAUGAUUCUAUUUUGUUGGUUUCUAGGAUCACUGUAAUGAUUAAUAGGGAUAGUUGGGGGCAUUAGUAUUCAAUUGUCAGAGGUGAAAUUCUUGGAUCAAUUGAAGACUAACUACUGCGAAAGCAUUUGCCAAGGAUAUUUUCAUUAAUCAAGAACGAAAGUUAGGGGAUCGAAGACGAUUAGGUACGUCGUAGUCUUAACCAUAAACUAUGCCGACUAGGAAUCAGACAACGUUAAAUUUUUAAUGACUUGUUUGGCACCUUACG